RNAcentral lists this ribosomal RNA (492 nucleotides) under uncultured bacterium. RNAcentral's name for it is "partial 16S ribosomal RNA". It matches the Rfam family "Bacterial small subunit ribosomal RNA", at positions 29 to 507 of the family's 1533-position model. The record is from RNAcentral.
AGUGAACGCUGGCGGUAGGCCUAACGCAUGCAAGUCGAACGGCAGCACAGUAAGAGCUUGCUCUUACGGGUGGCGAGUGGCGGACGGGUGAGGAAUACAUCGGAAUCUACCUUUUCGUGGGGGAUAACGUAGGGAAACUUACGCUAAUACCGCAUACGACCUACGGGUGAAAGCAGGGGAUCUUCGGACCUUGCGCGAUUGAAUGAGCCGAUGUCGGAUUAGCUAGUUGGCGGGGUAAAGGCCCACCAAGGCGACGAUCCGUAGCUGGUCUGAGAGGAUGAUCAGCCACACUGGAACUGAGACACGGUCCAGACUCCUACGGGAGGCAGCAGUGGGGAAUAUUGGACAAUGGGCGCAAGCCUGAUCCAGCCAUACCGCGUGGGUGAAGAAGGCCUUCGGGUUGUAAAGCCCUUUUGUUGGGAAAGAAAAGCAGCAGGUUAAUACCCCGCUGUUCUGACGGUACCCAAAGAAUAAGCACCGGCUAACUUCGUG